CCGUUAAUACUAAAGACGGGGAAAGUACCGUUAGUGGUAAAAGUAAACUGGCAAAUAUUAGGAAUUUAUUUAAUAAUCCUAAUAUUUAUUUGAAGUGAAUAAAAAGCUUUUAAGAAAUAAAGUGAUAGAAGGCCCGAGUUAACGGGACCCGAAAUAAACUUAGUCAUAAAUAUUCUCGAACCCGCAAAGUUAACUAGGAAUAUUAAACCUAGUUAAUAAGUGGGGAAUAUUGUUAGAAAUAAGUAGGUUGUGCCCUACUUAAUUAACUAACCAAAUUAGAGGGGCCAAUAUUGUUAAAAUUGAAACUUAACUUUAAUUAAUUAAAUAAAACACACCAAACACCCCACAAGGAGGUGUCUGGUCGUACAAGAAGAACAGGGGGGCGAUCCCCACACAUCAAAACCCUAAAUCUUCACCAAACUUGCAAAUUGAAGGCUCAAUCCAAGUCAAAAUCGAAAAUCAAGCAUAGAUUAUUGAUCCCCAUUGCAAGAGGGUUGUAAGGUAUGUAAAAUUUGAUGUUAAUUCUCUUUUGUCGCCUAACGAGCUAGGUGGAGGCUUGGGAAAGAAGCGGUCAAACGAAUCAAGCACGAGAAGAAAAGCAUAUUCGGAUGCGAGGUAAGUGGAGCUUACGCC
This 633-nucleotide long non-coding RNA is filed under the name Helianthus annuus (common sunflower). Lineage: Eukaryota; Viridiplantae; Streptophyta; Magnoliopsida; Asterales; Asteraceae. The record is from RNAcentral.